UACGUAGGGGGCAAGCGUUGUCCGGAUUUAUUGGGCGUAAAGAGCGUGUAGGCGGCCGCACAGGUCCGUUGUGAAAACUGGAGGCUUAACCUCCAGACGUCGAUGGAAACCGUGCGGCUAGAGUCCGGAAGAGGAGAAUGGAAUUCCUGGUGUAGCGGUGAAAUGCGCAGAUAUCGGGAAGAACACCUAUGGCGAAGGCAGCUCUCUGGGACGGUACUGACGCUGAGACGCGAAAGCGUGGGGAGCGAACAGG
This 253-nucleotide ribosomal RNA is filed under the name uncultured bacterium. RNAcentral's name for it is "partial 16S ribosomal RNA". It matches the Rfam family "Bacterial small subunit ribosomal RNA", at positions 524 to 776 of the family's 1533-position model. The record is from RNAcentral.